GGGGAAUUACCUCAAAUGGUAGAGCGCUCACUUAGUACGCGAGAGGUAGCAGGAUUGAUGCCUGCAUUCUCCA
Molecule: non-coding RNA, 73 nt
Organism: Chelonia mydas (Green sea turtle)
Lineage: Eukaryota; Metazoa; Chordata; Testudines; Cheloniidae
Source: Rfam